RNAcentral lists this ribosomal RNA (409 nucleotides) under uncultured bacterium. RNAcentral's name for it is "bacterial SSU rRNA". It matches the Rfam family "Bacterial small subunit ribosomal RNA", at positions 954 to 1353 of the family's 1533-position model. The record is from RNAcentral.
GCUAAACGCGAAGAACCUUACCUGGUCUUGACAUCCACGGAACUUUCCAGAGAUGGAUUGGUGCCUUCGGGAACCGUGAGACAGGUGCUGCAUGGCUGUCGUCAGCUCGUGUCGUGAGAUGUUGGGUUAAGUCCCGCAACGAGCGCAACCCUUGUCCUUAGUUGCCAGCGAGUAAUGUCGGGAACUCAUGGGGAUACUGCCGGUGACAAAACCGGAGGAAAGGUGGGGACGACGUCAAGUCAUCAUGGCCCUUACGACCUGGGGCUACACACGUGACUACAAUGGAACGCACAGAGGGCAGCAAAAGGCGCGAGCGUGCGCAAAAUCUCAAAAAAGCCAUCCUCAGUUCGGAUUGGAGUCUGCAACCCGACUCCCAUGAAGUUGGAAUCGCUAGUAAUCGCGGAUCAGC